Molecule: ribosomal RNA, 206 nt
Filed under: uncultured Geobacillus sp.
Lineage: Bacteria; Bacillati; Bacillota; Bacilli; Caryophanales; Anoxybacillaceae
Description: partial 16S ribosomal RNA
Rfam family: Bacterial small subunit ribosomal RNA
Source: RNAcentral
AUGACGUCAAGUCCUCAUGGCCUUUAUGUCUAGGGCUACACACGUGCUACAAUGGGUGGUACAAAGAGCAGCUAACUCGCGAGGGGGAGCCAAUCCCAAAAAGCCGACUCUCAGUUCGGAUUGCAGGCUGCAACUCGCCUGCAUGAAGCCGGAAUCGCUAGUAAUCGCGGAUCAGCAUGCCGCGGUGAAUACGUUCCCGGGCCGUU